Molecule: unclassified non-coding RNA, 520 nt
Filed under: Hevea brasiliensis (rubber tree)
Lineage: Eukaryota; Viridiplantae; Streptophyta; Magnoliopsida; Malpighiales; Euphorbiaceae
Source: RNAcentral
CUUUUUUUUUUUUUUUUUCAGUUUUUUUUCAAUAGCAAAGUUAUCGCCAAUUGUACAAUUCCCUUGCAAAAUAUUAAGACAAUAAUAUGUAUCUUUACAAUAUGCUAAUCUUCCAACCAAUUCUUUUGACUACAAUUGUGUUUUAUGCACGACCUUCCUUUCACCACCUGAAAUAAUGAUGAAUCUUUCCUAAUGGAACAAAGAAAGUCGGCUGCUAGUGUCCUAAAGUAAUUCAAUUGUGACCCAUAAUUAUUCAUGCCACAAAAUCAUGCAACAAAUGGGAGGAAUUGAACCUGUGUUGCCUGUUUCCUGGAUUCAGGCAUUCAUAAUCUGUGUUCUCCGCCUCAGUAGAAGAUGCUGCUGCACCAUAUAUAUCAUCCCCUCUCGUGGAAACAAAACUGUGAUGGGCUGUGGCAGACACUGGUAGGUUACCACCAUUACAGUGCUGCAACCCCAGAGUAAGAGAUACUCCACUUGCAGUCCCAAACCCUCCCACCUGUGACAUUUGAUAAGCAGCAGC